AAGAUAACCUAUAUCUCAAAUAUCGGUCCUUGACCGAUAUUUUACCGCAUUAACUGCAUAGCAUAAAACUUGAGGAUACCUAAAAUUAAAAGAUAAAAUGAAAUCACAAAACGAAAAGUCGAAACUUGAGGAUGCGCAAACACCGUAGUCAAGAAGUAAGGGACACAAGUCAUUAGGUCCGAGUGAAAGAUCAAGUAAAAGAAGUGUAAUGGCCUAACUUAAUAAAUAAGUUUUCUAAUGGACAACCUAAUAAUUAAAGCAUAUUUGUAUAGAAGCCUUAGCUCCUAAUAAAAAAUCAUUGUGUCCAAAGAUACUGCUAAAUUGUUUGAUUAUGUGAUUUGCCUCUUAUACAUCUUCUCAUGACUCCUUUGACAUCUUUGCCAUCAUUUCUUGCAAGUUGGGUUUGUUCAGAUACUCAUGUACCUAAUGUGGUCCAUUUGCUUGCAAACUUGGUUUAUUUCAUGCACCAUUUCUUCAAAUCAUCAAAAAAGGUUCUAUACUCUUCUCAUCCACCUUUGCCCACAGUUGUAAACAUGGUAGGUAUCCUUGUUCUUAAGCUCUAUGAUAUGAAGAGUUUGGGGCUUUAAAUAUGUAACUAUCGCAUAUAUGAUUAUAAUAGUUUUGGUUGGGUAUAUAUAAUAUAUUGCAAGUUUGCAAGGGUGUAUAUGAAAUUCACCCAUAAUUUUUUUGAUCGUCCCAUCAUGUUAGCGUUAAUCUGAUAGAAUUGUCUCCUUAAAUCACGAAUAGACACGUUCCAUAUUGAUUGUACUUGUACGUUACUAAGUGUUCACUUGUUAAUGUUUCUACCGCAAUGUGUUUGUUA
Helianthus annuus (common sunflower) is the source of this 823-nucleotide long non-coding RNA. RefSeq lists it as uncharacterized. Lineage: Eukaryota; Viridiplantae; Streptophyta; Magnoliopsida; Asterales; Asteraceae. The record is from RefSeq and is a predicted model, not a curated record. The transcript has 2 exons.